ACUCUUGUUGCCCAGGCUGGAGUGCAAUGGUGCAAUCUCAGUUCACUGCAAUCUCUGCAUCCUGGGUUCAAACAAUUUUCCUGCCUCAGUCCCCCAGUAGCUGAGAUUAUAGGCGCUCACCACCAUGCCCAGCUAAUUUUUUGUAUUUUUGGCAGAGAUGGGGUUUUGCUUUUAAGGAGAUUGUUCAUUAAGUAUUAAUUGGUGGCCUGCCGUUGAACUAAUGUUAGUGUAGUACUGACAUCAUCAGCCACGGCAGAAACUUACUUGGCACCCCUGGAAAAGAGGGCAGGGAAGCAUAGUGCCCUGAAACCACCUCAUUCUCCAGUGCUACUUCCAACUCUGAGCUGAUGGUCAUUAUGAGUGGAUCUGCCCUGAACAAGUAGUUUAGUGCAGCUGCCUUGGACAGGCAGGUUAAAAGUAACAAACAUACAAAACUCAGCUAAUAAAAUGUGAGGACAGACAUGGGGCGCCAGGAAGGGGUGAGGCCUGUCUCCCUGUGUACCAUCUGUGUGGAGCCUCAGUACCUAGGACACAGCAUUUACGCAGAGGCCCAGGUUUUUAUUAGCAUUUCCCUGAAUAAAAUGUCACUUGUGAGCUGCGGACUGGGAAGCUUUUUCUGAUGAUUAGGUUUUGUAAUGUGGGAUCAUCAGUAGGCAAGGUGGAUCUGAGGGCUGUAAGAUCUGGAGACUGUCCAGGGCGGCUUUCUGGGGAUGACAGGCUUGUCUCGUCAGCAGUCAAGACACCAAAGAGAGUCUUUCUGAGAAUAAAAGAAAGAAGCUUUUAAGGAAAAAAGCAGUUUCUCUCUCUGUUUGGGAGUUGAGUGCAUUUUCCUACAUUUAUUCGGAGAUGUUCCUUGGUUCCCACCAUGUGCUAUUGCCCCGCUAUUGGGUAGGGUCACCCCACCGCGUACCUAACCUAGGAAAACUCCUCUGCAGUGAUUUCAGAGGCUGUGUGCAUUUCUCUUGCCUCAAUGGGUGGAGUGAGUUUUCUUCCUACUUUUUAGUCAGUUUUCUUAAUCUAGCGUGCAUCUUUAUGUGAGAGCAGUCCACCUGUAACCAGUUUGUUCCUGGAGGUGCUGCAGUGACCUUGGUUACGCGUGGGCCCCGUGGCUCAGGAUGGGCUGAGGAAGGAGUGUGUGUGUGAGCAGUGGGCACUGGCCAGAGGCAGGGGAAGUGUGGCCACUUGUGGCUUAAACUCCCCCCAUGCGGCUCUACUGCACGCUGGGACGUGAACACUCUCGCCCUGGACGUUUUCUCUGAAUGCUCAGUGCCCAGGCUCUUGGGUACACAGGCGGCCCGGGGGUUUAUUUGAAAAGGUGUCAUGAACAGUGAAGUAACCCACGUGCCUAAGCUUUGAUUGACAUGAAGGAACGUAGAGGCUGCUGAAAUCCUGGUCAUUUUAGAACAAAGUAUUUUAUUAACAGUUUUCUAAAAGAAAGAAAUCGUUAAAAAAUUGAUCCCUGUUGAGGUAGAAGGAUCUCGUCCUCAUGCUUCUCAGUUCUUUCCAGAAUCAGCUUCCAGUUCAGCUGCACAACAGGUUCUGCUGGUGGCUGGAGCAGCCCAGGCAGGUGCUGUUGGGUCUGAGUUCACACUGGUGCCCGUGUGGUCUCC
Long non-coding RNA from Macaca fascicularis (crab-eating macaque), 1610 nucleotides. The record is from Ensembl. Lineage: Eukaryota; Metazoa; Chordata; Mammalia; Primates; Cercopithecidae.